GACGAACGCUGGCGGCGUGCUUAACACAUGCAAGUCGAACGGAAAGGCCCUGCUUUUGUGGGGUGCUCGAGUGGCGAACGGGUGAGUAACACGUGAGUAACCUGCCCUUGACUUUGGGAUAACUUCAGGAAACUGGGGCUAAUACCGGAUAGGAGCUCCUGCUGCAGGGUGGGGGUUGGAAAGUUUCGGCGGUUGGGGAUGGACGCGCGGCUGAUCAGCUUGCUGGUGGGGUAGUGGCUUACCAAGGCUUUGACGGGUAGCCGGCCUGAGAGGGUGACCGGCCACAAUGGGACUGAGAUACGGCCCAGACUCCUACGGGGGGCAGCAGUGGGGAAUAUUGCACAAUGGGAGGAAGCCUGAUGCAGCAACGCCGCGUGCGGGAUGACGGCCUUCGGGUUGUAAACCGCUUUCGCCUGUGACGAAGCGUGAGUGACGGUAAUGGGUAAAGAAGCACCGGCUAACUACGUG
Molecule: ribosomal RNA, 468 nt
Filed under: uncultured bacterium
Lineage: Bacteria
Description: partial 16S ribosomal RNA
Rfam family: Bacterial small subunit ribosomal RNA
Source: RNAcentral